AUUGAUAGAGGCGCAAACCUUAAUGAGUAGUAAUCUGGAGAAGCGUGGGCUUCGAGGAAGGGUUUAUGAAAGGGAAGGAUUGCCGAAGUGAAAAUAAGUCCCAUGAUUAUUUUUGCUGGUUCUGUUAUUGAAUAAAUACAGAAUUGUCAGUAUGAACUGAUUCAUACUGGAGGGCUAUCUCA
This 182-nucleotide non-coding RNA is filed under the name uncultured Siminovitchia sp. RNAcentral's name for it is "Lysine riboswitch". It matches the Rfam family "Lysine riboswitch aptamer". Rfam says of the family: Riboswitches are metabolite binding domains within certain messenger RNAs that serve as precision sensors for their corresponding targets. Allosteric rearrangement of mRNA structure is mediated by ligand binding, and this results in modulation of gene expression. The record is from RNAcentral. Lineage: Bacteria; Bacillati; Bacillota; Bacilli; Caryophanales; Bacillaceae.